This 803-nucleotide long non-coding RNA is filed under the name Homo sapiens (human). RNAcentral's name for it is "HSALNT0365621". Lineage: Eukaryota; Metazoa; Chordata; Mammalia; Primates; Hominidae. The record is from RNAcentral.
GCUGGCCCCAUGAAAUAAUUGGGACACCAGGAGGGGCAGGGUCAGAGGACCUCUAAAUAGCUCUGUAGUCUUGGCCUCAGGGAGUGAUUACCUGCAAUAUGCCAGGGUACUGUCCCUGUAAACAAUGAGGCUGGAAGGCAAGAAAGGAGCAGCUCCCUGGCAUUUUGCUGCUGGAGCACGGAAGCAGUGCUGGCCAGGAGCUCACAGGGGACAUUUGGCAACGUCCAGGGACAAUUUCUGAUGGUCACAACGAAGUGGUUGCUACUAGCAUCAAGUGGGUAGAGGCCAGGGAUGGAGCUGAACACGAUACAAUGCACCAGGCGGCCCCUGCAACCAAGAACCAAAAUGGCGGUAGUCCCCAGACCCAAUGCCUAGCGCCAUGUCUGGUGAGUGAAUGCACACAGGAAGAAAGCUUUGCCAAAAUUUGCACACCUCGUUGCUGGAAGGACUAGGACUGGCAUUCAGGUCUUUGGACUCCCAAGCUAUGCUCACCUCAUCAGACCUGAUGGCUCUAAGUAGGUCAGUUUUAGGUCCUGAGCUACUUGAUCCAUCUGGCUCCCAGUUAGAGAACAACAAGAAACUAAUCACAUGUGGUGGCUGCUGCCUCCGUAAGUGCUUCCAUUUAUUCACAAGCUGAAAGACAAAAGCUUGGCCCCCCAGCAUAUGCUGGAUCAAAAGCAAGGAACAAAAAGGAUUGUAAAAGAAAGACGCUGGAAAUAGUAGCUACUUUGAUGCAGGCAGCUCUUUGAGGAAGCAGCUGAGGACUGUGCCCCCAGCAGCAAAGAGAGAGAGAAGUCACUGCC